Molecule: small nucleolar RNA, 138 nt
Organism: Cavia aperea (Brazilian guinea pig)
Lineage: Eukaryota; Metazoa; Chordata; Mammalia; Rodentia; Caviidae
Source: Ensembl
CUGGCCCUGAAUCAAGGCUGGCAGCUUCCUGAUGCUAUUGGUUUCAAGCAGGAGCAUAUAAAGAUGUCCUUCUAUGAUCUGUUGGCCAUUGCAGAACUUUGGGCAAUGAAAUGGUCAGUUCAUUACAAAGAAACAACU